Molecule: ribosomal RNA, 710 nt
Filed under: uncultured bacterium
Lineage: Bacteria
Description: bacterial SSU rRNA
Rfam family: Bacterial small subunit ribosomal RNA
Source: RNAcentral
GAGCGGAUGAGGUAGGUAGCUUGCUACUUAUGGAUUUAGCGGCGGACGGGUGAGUAAUAUAUAGGAAUCUGCCUUAGAGCGGGGAACAACAGACCGAAAGGUUUGCUAAUGCCCCAUAGGUAUGCAGUCUUCGGAUUGUUUAUUAAAGGAGUAAUCCACUCUAAGAUGAGCCUGUAUCCGAUUAGCUAGUUGGCGGGGUAAAGGCUCACCGAGGCUACGAUCGGUAGUUGGUCUGAGAGGAUGAUCAGCCACAAUGGGACUGAGACACGGCCCAUACUCCUACGGGAGGCAGCAGUGGGGAAUUUUACACAAUGGGGGAAACCCUGAUGUAGCGACACCGCGUGAACGAAGAAGCCUUUUGGGGUGUAAAGUUCUGUCGGCUGGAACGAAAAAAAUGACGGUACCAGCAAAGGAAGCAUCGGCUAACUACGUGCCAGCAGCCGCGGUAAGACGUAGGAUGCAAGCGUUGUCCGGAUUUAUUGGGCGUAAAGAGUUCGUAGGCGGUUAUUUAAGUCUGAUGUUAAAUACUGUGGCCCAACCACAGAACUGCAUUGGAUACUGGAUGACUUGAGUGGCGUAGAGGCAGGUGGAAUUCCCAGUGUAGCGGUGAAAUGCGUAAAUAUUGGGAAGAACACCAGUGGCGUAAGCGACUUGCUGGCCCGUAACUGACGCUUGAGAACGAAAGCCAGGGGAGCGAAUGGGAUUAGAUA